Molecule: long non-coding RNA, 1669 nt
Organism: Homo sapiens (human)
Lineage: Eukaryota; Metazoa; Chordata; Mammalia; Primates; Hominidae
Gene: DUBR
Product: DPPA2 upstream binding RNA
Source: Ensembl
UGGCCGCACCCACGCGGCGCAGCUCCCAAAGUUGCAGACAGCCCGGCGAACCGCGCAAUGCGCUUCUUCUGCCUGCAGCAGAGAAAAGGAAAGAAAACUCCGCAGGGGCUCCGUUGGCUUCUCCACGAGUGACAACCAUGUUUUCCCAGAUAGAAGACCGGAGCCCUGCUCCUUUGCGAUCCGCCGAGGGCUGCAGAGAGCAUCCUCAUCCAUUUGGGCACCCCUGCCCAGGAAGAGCCCGGCCAUCCCUUUCCGGACUGGAUCCUUAAGAGGUGAAUUUUCUUCCGUGGAUUCCGAUUUGCUCCGUCUGACCAGCCUAGGCAAUCCAGCAUCGCGUGGUACCAGUGCCGCUGGGCACACUGGCUUCACGCCGGCUCCGCCUCACCAGCAAGCGCAUUCCCAGAGGAGAAAAUGAGACACUGAGUGGGACUCAGGGAUUGCUCCAGGCCACACAGUCAGCAGGAGGCAAAGCCCAGAUUCAAAUGCAGAUUACUCAGCUCCACAAUCCACAUCCUCACAGGAGGCUGCACUCCUUGCCCAAGCGUCAGACAGGAGCAAAGAGAAAGAAGGCAACCAGCUGGCUACUUUCUUCCCUUCUUGGAUGCCUCCAACAGGGUGAGAAGGACUAAACAAAUGACCAAGUGUCAUCCCAUUUUGGACAUACUUAAAACACCCCAUGGAAUUUUUAUUCUGACUUUCUUCUGCCUGUGUGGCAUUUAUGUUUAAAUAAAAGAGAAUUCAACUCGUAUGUCUGAUAUCUUCAUGACUAGUUUGCCAGGGAUAGUCCCCAUGUACACUUUGUUGUAUCGUUGACCUGUUCAGUUUAGCAUUUGCUCAGGGAUUUCCAUUUUUAACCUAGUGCUAUUAGCAACAGUUGUGUUAAACAUGCUAAGAUGGGUCUGGUGAACUUUGACUUUUCGAGCUUCAGUCUGGUCUCAGCAAGGAGUAACUGAGAUUUUGUGCAGUGAGCAGAGUUCCGACUUUAACACAUGGUUAAAUCUGAUUGACUUCCAACCCUCUCUAAACACAAAGUAACUAACAGCAACUUCCCAAGUACAUUGCUACAAGCUGAAUAUUUAUGUUCCCUCCAACAUUCAGAUGCUGAACUCCUUACCCCAGUGUGAGGGUAUUUGGAGGUGGGACCUUUGGGAGAUUCGGUCUUCAUAAAUGGGAUUAGUGCCCUUAUAAAAGAAAUCACAGAGAGCUUCCUCUCUCCUUCUACCAUGUAAGGAUGCAGCAAGAAGACACCAUGAACCAGGAAGUACGUCCUCACCGGACAUAGAUUCUGCCAGUUCCUUGAUCUUGACUUCCCAGCCUCCAGAACUACGAGAAAUACAUGUCUGCUGUUUAUAAGUUGCCCAGAUUUUGAUAUGUUGUUAUUGUAGCCUGAACAAACUAAGACAGACAUCAUGCAGGACUCAGUAACAAAAGGAAAUGCACACAAACGCUGUCUUGGUGUUUGCUGCCCUGUCAGCUUACUGGUGGCCCAUUCAGUGGAGCAUGGCCGAUGCACAGGUUCUUACCACAGGCCUCGCCACAGCUAACAAGAUACCUGAAACUGUCAACUUGCCAGUUGGUGGAGUCUUUGAGAAAUAGGGAAAAGUAUAGGGUUAAUUAAGAUGAGAUGUGCAGGGGAAAUAAAGACAGAGAUGUCCUAACCCAUAGGUAA